Long non-coding RNA from Carassius gibelio (silver crucian carp), 4916 nucleotides. RefSeq lists it as uncharacterized. Lineage: Eukaryota; Metazoa; Chordata; Actinopteri; Cypriniformes; Cyprinidae. The transcript is spliced from 6 exons. The record is from RefSeq and is a predicted model, not a curated record.
AAUUGACAUCCACAGAUCCGGAAUGAUCUAAAGAAUCCAUAGACAUCAAGAAAAUAAUUUUCUGAUGAAUUGUUCAGAAGUUAUAAGCAAAAAAGUGCAUUUGUGGUAUCUCAACACCCAUAGGUGGCGCUAUUCCCAAAUUUGGCAUGGACCCCCAGAUCAUGGUGUAGAUGAAGUGUACCAAGAUUGGUAUCGAUUGAUCAAAGUUUGGCCGAGAUAUAGCAUCUCUACCGAUUUUAGGUCAGCCUCAUUAAGUUCACAAUUGAAUAACUUUUGAACAAAGACGAAAAUCAAAAAUCUGUUCAGUCAUUUCUGUGCGGCUCAGUCCAAAGAACAUCUGAGCCAAAUUUCAGAAGAAUUGGACCAAUUUUGAAGGAGGAGUAGUGUUUAGACUGAAUACUGUACUUUUCAAAAUGGCCGCCACUGUAAUGGGCGGAGUCUUAAUGUAAGAUAUGGAAUGGAAUCUCCAUGAAGAGACAAAAUAGAUGUACUAAGUUUUAUUUUCAUAGAAUUAGUGGUUCAAGAGUUAUUAACGUUUGAAUGUUGAAUUUUUGGACUGCUGGUGGCGCUAUAGAGUUUGGCCUAGAGACCCCAAAGUUGGUCAGAUCACUAAUAAUGACCAGUUCUACAGGUGUGCCAAAUUUCAUCAUUUUCCCAUGUUCCCUUCAUAGGGCUGCCAUAGACUCCCAUUGGCCAAGAAGAAGAAGAAGAAGAAUAAUAAUAAUAAUAAUAAAGAAAACGUACAGAUACAAUAGGGGCUACAGCCCUCUGGGCUUGGCCCCUAAUAAUAAUAAUAAAACAUACAGAUACAAUAGGGGCUACAGCCCUCUGGGCUUGGCCCCUAAAUAUAGCUGCAAGCAGCGAUACCGGGGCCAAGCCCUGAAGGGCUGUAGCCAGAGCAACGAGCGGGACGAAGCAAAACGGCCAAAACAGAACUUCCAUCGGACCGACGUUACCCACCCCGGAUUCGAUCCCACGACCUCUCGGGUUUGGGACGAGUGCCUUAGCUAAGUGGCGCUGUUCCCAAAUUUGGCGUGGACCCCCAGAUCAUGGUGUAGAUGAAGUGUACCAAGUUUGGUAUCGAUUGAUCAAAGUUUGGCCGAGAUACAGCAUCUCAACCGAUUUUAGGUCAACCUCAGGCUGCCAUAGACCCCCAUUGGACGAGAAGAAGAAGAAGAAGAAGAAGAAGAAGAAUAAUAAUAAUAAUAAAACGUACAGAUACAAUAGGGGCUACAGCCCUUUGGGCUUGGCCCCUAAUAAUAAAACAUACAGAUACAAUAGGGGCUACAGCCCUCUGGGCUUGGCCCCUAAAUAUAGCUGCAAGCAGCGAUACCGGGGCCAAGCCCUGAAGGGCUGUAGCCAGAGCAACGAGCGGGACGAAGCAAAACGGCCAAAACGGAACUUCCAUCGGACCGACGUUACCCACCCCGGAUUCGAUCCCACGACCUCUCGGGUUUGGGACGAGUGCCUUAGCGAAGUGCGCCACAUUAGUUGACACACAGUUCGCAUGGCACAGAAGAGAGGUUAAGGUGUGAGAAUGAGGUCACUGAAGAAAGUUGCUUAGCAAUUUAAGCAGCAUGAAAUGGAAAGUUAAGUAAAUUGUAAUUCAGACUUCUGAGAUAUGUCCAGAACAUGGUUUUAAUAAUCCCUACCGAUUAUAGUAGAAAUCUUUCCAUGGGUUGAAAAGAUAUAGAAACUUAGGACACAAUUCUUAAUGUCAGGCAGUUAGUUUAAUUAAUCCAGGCAAAAUUUACAUCCAUGGAUUCGGCAUGUUUCGAGGAAUAGACUGACGACAAGAUCAUGAUUUUCCAACUAAUUGUUCAAAAGUUAUAAGCAGAAAUGUGAGUCUUUGGUAUCUCACGACCCAUAGGUGGCGCUGUUCCCAACUUUGGGAUAUAUUCUCAGUUCAUAGUGUUGAUGAACUGUAGCGAGUUUUGUGGCGAUUGAUCAAAGUACGGCCGAGAUAUAGCCUCUCAUACAAUUUCGAUUGAACACUAUUAACUUCAGAGCAUCAUAACUCUUUUUUUGACCAGUAGGUCGAAGAAUUCUGUUCAGUCAUUUCUGUGCGGCUCGGUCCAAAGAUCGUAUGAGGAAAUUUUGAGAAGAAUUGGGCCACAUUUGAAGGAGGAGUAGCGAAAAAACGGAAUACUGUACUUUUCUUAAUGGCCUUCACUGUAAUGGCAGGAAUUUUAAUGUAAACUAUUCAAUGUGAUCAGCGUGAAGAGAGGAAUCAGGUGUACUAAGUUUUAUCUUGAUAGAAGAAGGUGUUCAAAAGUUAUAAGGAAAAAUGUGCAUUUAUGCUAUCUCAUGACCCAUAGGUGGCGCUGUGCCCGAAUUCGGCAUGAAUCCUCAGAUCAUGGUGUUGAUGAAGUGUAUCAAGUUUGGUUUCGAUUGAUCAAUGUUUGGCCGAGAUACAGCCUCUUAACCGAUUUUGGGUCGACCUCGUUAUGUUCACAAUUGAAUAACUUUUGAACAAAGACCAAUAUCAAAAAUCUGUUCAGUCAUUUCUGUGCGGCUCGGUCCGAAGAUCGUCUGUGGUCAAUUUCAGAAAAAUCAAACCACUUUUGAAGGAGGAGUAGCGUUUAAACGGAAACACUUAAUUAGCUUAAUAGCAAUUAUUGUAAUGGGUGGAAACUUAAUGUAAGGUAUAGAAUGUAAUCUCCAUGAAGAGAGUAAUCAUGUGUACUAAGUUUUAUCUGUCUAGACCAAAGGGUUCAGGAGUUAUUAAAGUUUAAAAACUGAAUUUUUGAACUGGUGGUGGCGCUGUAGAGUUGGUCUUAGAGACCCCAAAGUUGGUCAGAUCACAAUUGGUGACCAUCUCUAGAAGUGUGCCAAAUUUCAUCAUUUUCCCAUGUUCCCUUCAUAGGGCUGGCAUAGUGAUCGAUUGUUUUUGCUCGAAAAUUCUACCAAAAACAAUCGCUAAUAUAGCUGCAAGCAGCGAUACCGGGGCCAAGCCCUGAAGGGCUGUAGCCAGAGCAACGAGCGGGACGAAGCAAAACGGCCAAAACGUAACUUCCAUCGGACCGACGUGACCCACCCCGGAUUCGAUCCCACGACCUCUCGGGUUCGGGACGAGUGCCUUAGCUAAGUGCGCCACAUUAGUUGACACACUGUUUGCAUGGCACAGAAGAGAGGUUAAGGUGUGAGGAUGAGGUCACUAAAGAAAGUUGCCUAGCAUUUUAAGGUAGUUUAGUCAAUCCUGGCAAAAUUUACAUCCAUAGAUUCGGCAUGACCCGAGGAAUAGAAAGACACCAAGAUCAUGAUUUUCCAACUAAUUGUUCAAAAGCUAUAAGCAGAAAUGUGAAAUUUUGGUAUCUCACGACCCAUAGGUGGCGCUGUUUCCAACUUUGGGAUAUAUUCUCAGUCCAUAGUGUUAAUGAAGUGUAGCGAGUUUUGUGGCGAUUGAUCAAAGUACGGCCGAGAUAUAGCCUCUCAUACAAUUUCGAUUGAACACUAUUAACUUCAGAGCAUCAUAACUCUUUUUUUGACCAGUAGGUCGAAGAAUUCUGUUCAGUCAUUUCUGUGCGGCUCGGUCCAAAGAUCGUAUGAGGAAAUUUUGAGAAGAAUUGGGCCACAUUUGAAGGAGGAGUAGCGAAAAAACAGAAUACUGUACUUUUCUUAAUGGCCUUCACUGUAAUUGCAGGAAUUUUAAUGUACACUAUUCAAUGUGAUCAGCGUGAAGAGAGGAAUCAGGUGUACUAAGUUUUAUGUUGAUAGAAGAAGGUGUUCAAAAGUUAUAAGGAAAAAUUUGCAUUUAUGCUAUCUCAUGACCCAUAGGUGGCGCUGUGCCCGAAUUCGGCAUGAAUCCUCAGAUCAUGGUGUUGAUGAAGUGUAUCAAGUUUGGUUUCGAUUGAUCAAUGUUUGGCCGAGAUACAGCCUCUUAACCGAUUUUGGGUCGACCUCGUUAUGUUCACAAUUGAAUAACUUUUGAACAAAGACCAAUAUCAAAAAUCUGUUCAGUCAUUUCUGUGCGGCUCGGUCCGAAGAUCGUCUGUGGCAAAUUUCAGAAAAAUCAAACCACUUUUGAAGGAGGAGUAGCGUUUAAACGGAAACACUUAAUUAGCUUAAUAGCAAUUACUGUAAUGGGUGGAGACUUAAUGUAAGGUAUAGAGUGUAAUCUCCACGAAGAGAGUAAUCAUGUGUACUAAGUCGUAUCUGGAUAGACCAAAGGGUUCAGGAGUUAUUAAAGUUUCAAAACUGAAUUUUUGAACUGGUGGUGGCGCUGUAGAGUUGGUCUUAGAGACCCCAAAGUUGGUCAGAUCACUAUUGGUGACCAUCUCUAGAAGUGUGCCAAAUUUCAUCAUUUUCCCAUGUUCCCUUCAUAGGGCUAGCAUAGUGAUCGAUUGUUUUUGCUCGAAAAUUCUACCAAAAACAAUCGCUAAUAUAGCUGCAAGCAGCGAUCCCGGGGCCAAGCCCUGAAGGGCUGUAGCCAGAGCAACGAGCGGGACGACGCAAAACGGCCGAAACGGAACGUACGUCAGGACAACAGAUCGGUUCAGAAGUAGAGAAGUUUGAAAUUGAACAGAACUUUAGAUGAGAAAGACCAAAAACAUUUUUCAUUCAAUGCGAACACACGCAGAAAAUCCAAUGCCUUGAACAGAGGCAACAUUAACUGCCGUUGAUUUGAACCCAUGAACACAGAAGCAACAUUAACUGCCCUUGAUUCAAACCCAUGAACAACAGUGCACUGGAUUCGAACCCAUGACCUCAGAAGUUCAGAACCACCACCUUAACAGACUGCACCACUGACUCGCUAUACAUCCAGCAAGAGGCAGAAGAAAGGUUAAGGUGUGAGAAUGAGAUCACUAAAGAAAGUUUCUGAGCAAUUUAAGCAAGCGUAAUGUGGAAAGUUAAGUAAAUUGUAAUUCAGAUAUCUGAGGUACAUCCGAAACAUGGUUUUAUUAAUCCCUACCGAU